CUCUCCUCUUACUCUUCCUUUCCCAGUUUUGAAAUCAUUCCUUCCCCACCACUGCCGCCCUCCCAUCCAUCCCCUCCCCUUCCCCUGCACUGAAUGAAUGGAAGAGUCUCCAGGGCUUUCUUCUGCUUCUCGCCCUGGACUGAAGAAGUGAGGGGGCAUCUAUCUAUCCUCAUCCAUCUCUUUCUCGCUUCAUCCAUUCUCGAGGGGAUUUCAGAUCGUGCAAUGUGUUUCCAGCCUCUUGCCGCUGCUACCACUUGAUACUAUGCGACGCGCAGGGAGAGGGUUUUGCAAAAAUGGAUUUAUUCUAUUUUAAAGGAUUUCUUCUCUAAUAAGGAUCUCAUUGCACACAAAUAUGACUAAAUCCCCUAUUUGGUAAAUCUUUCUCUACCCCACCCCUCCUCUUUGGGUUCCCUCCCGCCCGCGCCCCCACCCCUUCAGAGGAGCAAGCACAGGGAGCUGAUGACGGACCCAUUAAUCCCUUCUUCAAUGCAUCAAAAGAAGCCGAAGGGCUGGAAGUCGCUGGGCUCGGAGUCCUGCAGGAAAUGCUUCGAUCUGCUUUUGGUUCUGUAUGAAACUGGUGACUAGGGGCUCGGCUCGCUCCGCCGCCGCCGCCCGCCGGCACCUGGAUGCGCGGGCCGCCGCCGCCGCCUUGCCCGCCGCCGCGAUGCAACGCUCCUGGCGGUGCUGGUGAUCGCUCGGGUGUGAUGGGAUUGAGCCGGCGGUGAUCAUUUGAAGGCGGUGGGGGAGAGCGAGGGAGAGGAAGGGCUGCUCCGCUGUGCCGUGCGUGUGGGGGCUUCGGGAUUUUUCUUUUUCUUCUUCUUUUCCUACUUCCAUCCUCUCCCCGCCACUGGAAGUCCUCCCGUAUCUAAAUGGAAUUAGUGGAGACCGAAGCCCCUUGUGUAAGGAACAGACAUGACCCAUGGGCGCAGCUUCCUUCACAUUGUAGCAAGUCUAAUCAUCCUACAUUUGUCUGGGGCAACGAAAAAAGGAACAGAAAAGCAAACUACUUCCGAAGGACAGAAACCAGUGCAGUGUGGAACUUGGACCAAAUAUGCAGAAGGAGGCAUCUUCACUUCUCCAAAUUACCCCAACAAGUAUCCUCCAGACAGAGAGUGUGUCUACAUUAUAGAAGCUGCUCCUAGACAAUGCAUUGAACUACACUUUGAUGAAAAAUAUUCCAUAGAGCCUUCUUGGGAGUGUAAAUUUGACCAUAUUGAAGUACGAGAUGGACCUUUUGGCUUUUCCCCAAUCAUUGGACGUUUCUGUGGACAGCAAAAUCCACCUAUGAUAAAAUCCAGUGGCAGAUUCCUGUGGAUUAAAUUUUUUGCUGAUGCUGAACUAGAAUCUAUUGGAUUUUCUGCUCGGUAUAACUUUACACCUGAUCCAGAUUUUAAGGACCUUGGUGUUUUAAAGCCAUUGCCAGUUUGUGAGUUUGAGAUGGGAGGACCUGAAGGAAUUGUGGAAUCUGUACAAAUUGUCAAAGAAGGAAAAGCUUCUGAAACUGAAGCAGUAGACUGUAAAUGGUACAUCCGAGCGCCACCCCGAUCCAAGAUCUAUUUGCGAUUCUUGGACUACGAGAUGCAGAAUUCCAAUGAAUGCAAAAGGAAUUUUGUAGCUGUCUAUGAUGGAAGCAGCUCCGUGGAGGAUUUGAAAGCAAAGUUUUGCAGCACUGUUGCUAAUGAUGUAAUGCUGCGGACAGGUCUUGGUGUGAUCCGCAUGUGGGCAGAUGAAGGCAGUCGAAACAGCCGAUUCCAGAUGCUCUUCACAUCUUUCCAAGAACCCCCUUGUGAAGCCAACGCAUUCUUUUGCCAUAGUAAUAUGUGUAUAAACAAUACACUGGUCUGCAACGGACUCCAGAACUGUGUGUAUCCCUGGGAUGAAAACCACUGCAAAGAAAAAAGAAAAGCUAACCUAUUGGACCAACUUACCAAUACCAGUGGGACUAUAAUUGGGGUGACUUCUUGCAUUGUGAUCAUCCUCAUUGUUUUAUCUAUUAUAGUACAGAUCAAGCAGCCUCGUAAAAAAUUUGUCCAAAGGAAAACAGACUUUGAUCAAAAUGUGUUCCAGGAGGUGUUUGAGCCUCCUCAUUAUGAGUUAUGCACCCUCAGAGGGACAGGAACUACAGCUGACCUUGCUGAUGUUGCAGAUGACUUUGAAAAUUAUCAUAAACUGCGGAGAUCCUCUUCAAAAUGCAUUCAUGACCAUCACUGUGGAUCACAAGUGUCUAGCAUUAAGGGCAGCCGUAGUAACCUCAGCACAAGAGAUGCUUCUGUCUUGACAGAAAUACAACCCCAACCUGUAAAACCACUUGUUCAACCCAUGAACAGGAGAAAUAUCCUUGUCAUGAAGCAUAGCUACUCACAAGAUGCUGCAGAUGCGUGUGAGAUAGACGAAAUUGAAGAAGUACCAACCACAAGUCACAGGCUGUCCAGACAUGAUAAAUCUGUUCAGCGCCAUAACAUUCCAGGUUCUGCCUCAUUGGGUCUCUAAGCAAACAUGAGUCUGAGUACAACACCACUAGGGUCUAAGAGACAAACCUGAGACAACUAUUCAUGCAGUCAUGAAAACUCUGAAUGGAAAACUUUAUAAUGAAUUAUCUCAGCUGUCUGAAAUAGUGGAAAAUUUUCUAAUUUAAUUUCAUUGCCUUUAUGCAAAUUUAAGAAAUAUAGGCAUAUCUUAAUUCCUUAGCAAGAUACUCCCAUUGCACAGUAAUAUAUUUCUUUUGCAAUUUUGUUGCUGGCCACCAAGUGCUCCUUAGUUAUUAAAUAUAUUUGGAGAUUUGCUACAAACUUGAGGAAGAAAUUAGCUCCUAUGACUGACCCUUUUUUUUUUUUUUAAUCAUAGUUUUAUUUAAGUUUAUAUGUUUUAUGUCUGGUUUCUACUUGUAUGUUUUGUGAUAUGUGAAAGAAGAUUUACAUUGAACUUUUGUUAUAUGUACAUUGUUUUCAUUAUAUAGACUGCUUGAGAAUAGUGCGCUCCUGGGUGAUUUUGAACAUGCUACAAUGAAAGGUGAAACUAUCGUCCUUGGAAACACCAGCUAGAGGUUUUAUGGACUCUCUGACCAGCUAUUCUCAUGUCAUGACAAAAUUCAGCAAUCAGUGUUGAGUAAAAUUACUAGAAGGCAAUAAGACUUUGGUUAUUAUGGUUAUCAGUCAUUUCUCUUUUUCUUUUUCUCUCUUUCUUUUGUUAAAAUUUAAAUUCCCAAUUUCAGGAACAAUUUAUUGAAAUCAGGUAUUUAGCCAUUCAUAAUCACUUCAAUAGAAGCGUUUGUUGGAUAAGCAUCUAGCAAUAUGACUGAAUUUGACAUUGAGAAAUUAAUCUGCAUGUUUGUUACUGAAUAUUUGAGUUGGCAAAAAUCCCUUUAUUAGAUACAUUGUAAAAAGCAUGCAUUCACAAUUAUUGCUGUUACUGUUCCAUUUCUGUGUCAUAUGCUUGCUACUUGUAAUUUUUUAUAUAAAAAUACAUAAAAAAAUGUAUAAUAA
Myiozetetes cayanensis is the source of this 3482-nucleotide RNA transcript. It is a transcript of the gene named neuropilin and tolloid like 1, with no coding region annotated. Lineage: Eukaryota; Metazoa; Chordata; Aves; Passeriformes; Tyrannidae. The transcript is spliced from 11 exons. The record is from RefSeq and is a predicted model, not a curated record.